Molecule: ribosomal RNA, 405 nt
Filed under: uncultured bacterium
Lineage: Bacteria
Description: partial 16S ribosomal RNA
Rfam family: Bacterial small subunit ribosomal RNA
Source: RNAcentral
AUUGAACGCUGGCGGCAGGCCUAACACAUGCAAGUCGAACGAGUGGCGGACGGGUGAGUAAUGUUUGGGAAUCUAGCCUAUGGAGGGGGAUAACUACGGGAAACUGUAGCUAAUACCGCGUACCAUAGGAUGAGCCCAGGUGGGAUUAGGUAGUUGGUGGGGUAAAGGCUCACCAAGCCGACGAUCCCUAGCUGGUCUGAGAGGAUGACCAGCCACACUGGGACUGAGACACGGCCCAGACUCCUACGUGAGGCAGCAGUGGGGAAUAUUGCGCAAUGGGGGCAACCUGACGCAGCCAUGCCGCGUGAAUGAAGAAGGCCUUCGGGUUGUAAAGUUCUUUCGGUGGCGAGGCGUUACCUACAGAAGAAGCACCGGCUAACUCCGUGCCAGCAGCCGCGGUAAUUC